CUGGUAAUGUAAUAAAGUACGUUUAUGAAAGCACUUUUUUGAAAAAUAAAAGGACAUUAAAAGGAAACAACUUCCAAACUCAUUUGGUUUUUUCCAGUUUCUAAACAAACACAAAAAAGAGCGGUGGCAUGACAACGUCAUAAAGAAGACUCUGUCAUUAAACAUUUUUAAAUAAGAGUGUGAAUCUACUUACUCCACAAUAGCCAGAAAUAUCUACAUGUGGAACUAACUCUCUAAGUGAACAUUUUUUUAUUCAUAAGACUCGAACUCGUUGUUUAAGAGAAAUCAAGCAUAUAUUACUUGAACCAACGUUCGUUAG
RNAcentral lists this long non-coding RNA (319 nucleotides) under Lupinus angustifolius (narrow-leaved blue lupine). RNAcentral's name for it is "long non-coding RNA (LANG_LNC001617)". Lineage: Eukaryota; Viridiplantae; Streptophyta; Magnoliopsida; Fabales; Fabaceae. The record is from RNAcentral.